CCUAAACGAUGUCAACUAGCUGUUGGGGCCGUUAGGCCUUAGUAGCGCAGCUAACGCGUGAAGUUGACCGCCUGGGGAGUACGGUCGCAAGAUUAAAACUCAAAGGAAUUGACGGGGACCCGCACAAGCGGUGGAUGAUGUGGAUUAAUUCGAUGCAACGCGAAAAACCUUACCUACCCUUGACAUGUCUGGAAAGCCGAAGAGAUUUGGCCGUGCUCGCAAGAGAACCGGAACACAGGUGCUGCAUGGCUGUCGUCAGCUCGUGUCGUGAGAUGUUGGGUUAAGUCCCGCAACGAGCGCAACCCUUGUCAUUAGUUGCUACGCAAGAGCACUCUAAUGAGACUGCCGGUGACAAACCGGAGGAAGGUGGGGAUGACGUCAAGUCCUCAUGGCCCUUAUGGGUAGGGCUUCACACGUCAUACAAUGGUCGGGACAGAGGGUCGCCAACCCGCGAGGGGGAGCCAAUCUCAGAAACCCGAUCGUAGUCCGGAUCGCAGUCUGCAACUCGACUGCGUGAAGUCGGAAUCGCUAGUAAUCGCGGAUCAGAAUGUCGCGGUGAAUACGUUCCCGGGUCUUGUACACACCGCCCGUCACACCAUGGGAGUGGGUUUCACCAGAAGUAGGUAGCCUAAC
This 633-nucleotide ribosomal RNA is filed under the name Bordetella sp. VCDW. RNAcentral's name for it is "bacterial SSU rRNA". It matches the Rfam family "Bacterial small subunit ribosomal RNA", at positions 801 to 1439 of the family's 1533-position model. Lineage: Bacteria; Pseudomonadati; Pseudomonadota; Betaproteobacteria; Burkholderiales; Alcaligenaceae. The record is from RNAcentral.